RNAcentral lists this ribosomal RNA (253 nucleotides) under uncultured bacterium. Its description in RNAcentral is "partial 16S ribosomal RNA". It matches the Rfam family "Bacterial small subunit ribosomal RNA", at positions 524 to 776 of the family's 1533-position model. The record is from RNAcentral.
UACGUAGGGGGCUAGCGUUGUCCGGAAUCAUUGGGCGUAAAGAGCGUGUAGGCGGCCCGGUAAGUCCGCUGUGAAAGUCGGGGGCUCAACCCUCGAAUGCCGGUGGAUACUGUCGGGCUAGAGUGCGGAAGGGGCAAUCGGAAUUCUUGGUGUAGCGGUGAAAUGCGUAGAUAUCAAGAGGAACACCGGAGGUGAAGGCGGGUUGCUGGGCCAACACUGACGCUGAGGCGCGAAAGCCAGGGGAGCAAACGGG